GUCAGGCUGACGUGUCCCAAACAGGACACAACGCGCGUCCUGGAU
RNAcentral lists this non-coding RNA (45 nucleotides) under Schistosoma margrebowiei. The record is from RNAcentral. Lineage: Eukaryota; Metazoa; Platyhelminthes; Trematoda; Strigeidida; Schistosomatidae.